This 253-nucleotide ribosomal RNA is filed under the name uncultured bacterium. Its description in RNAcentral is "partial 16S ribosomal RNA". It matches the Rfam family "Bacterial small subunit ribosomal RNA", at positions 524 to 776 of the family's 1533-position model. The record is from RNAcentral.
GACGUAGGGGGCUAGCGUUGUUCGGAAUUACUGGGCGUAAAGCGCACGUAGGCGGCUUUGCAAGUUAGAGGUGAAAGCCCGGGGCUCAACUCCGGAAUUGCCUUUAAAACUGCAUCGCUAGAAUUGUGGAGAGGUAAGUGGAAUUCCGAGUGUAGAGGUGAAAUUCGUAGAUAUUCGGAAGAACACCAGUGGCGAAGGCGACUUACUGGACACAUAUUGACGCUGAGGUGCGAAAGCGUGGGGAGCAAACAGG